AGGACGAACGCUAGCGGCGUGUUUGAAACAUGCAAGUCGAACGGGAAGAGCAAUCUUUUAGUGGCGAACGGGUGCGUAACACGUAAAGAACCUAUCCAACAGUGGGGGAUAGCCUCUGGAAACGGGGGGGUAAUACCGCAUACGGUAUAGAGCAGGCAUCUGCUUUAUAGGAAAGGAAUACGAAAGUAUUUCACUGAUGGAGGGCUUUGCGGCCUAUCAGGUAGUUGGUGGGGUAACGGCCUACCAAGCCAAAGACGGGUAGCUGGUCUGAGAGGACGAUCAGCCACACUGGGACUGAGAUACGGCCCAGACUCCUACGGGGGGCAGCAGUUUAGAAUAUUGUGCAAUGGGCGAAAGCCUGACACAGCGACGCCGCGUGGGUGAUGAAGGCCUUAGGGUCGUAAAGCCCUGUUGGUAGGAAGAGCAAGGACGGUACCUACCGAGGAAGCCCCGGCUAACUACGUGCCAGCAGCCGC
Molecule: ribosomal RNA, 476 nt
Filed under: uncultured bacterium
Lineage: Bacteria
Description: SSU rRNA
Rfam family: Bacterial small subunit ribosomal RNA
Source: RNAcentral